AGGGCAUGCACGGCCGGCCGGGCCGCUCACACACCUUGGGCUUCGGCAAAACCCGGCUAAGUCGCAACGGAACCAGUGAAAUGUUUAACCUGUCACUAAGAAUACGUGACCGAACUGACAGACGGACGGACGGACGGACAGACGGGCUUUCUCCUGAAACCAAUCAGUCAUGUUUUAGCGUAGAGCAACUGAACAGAACUUGCAUUUACUGUACCUUGCAAGUUCCUGUGCUGCCCGGGUCCAUUUUGGAGGCCGUCAUCUGCAGGGAAGAAAGACAACAUGGAAGUGGGCCCGUUGAACUUGAGCACGGAGCUCAAUUUCACUGUGCGAGCGGAGACUUCACCCUGAGAGCAAAAGCAGAAACCAAUAAACAACUCUGCCCUCGCUUCCUUGGCGUGCGGCGAGUUCAGACUCCAGCACCAGCCUUUUGGAAGGAAACCGAAGAGGGUCCAUGUGGUACUGAAUGUGUGGCUCGCUGUGGAAGCACAGUGCGUCUCUCGUACCCCAAACACUGGGCACAGACAAAUGUUCCAGGCGAGGAGCUGGGAUGCCUUUGUGUCGGCCUCAAAAAAGGAAACACGGAGCCAGAGCAGAGCUGUGACAAACCCGUAUUAUUAUUUACUGAAAGCGGGGAGGAGGUCUGACGCGUCACAGUCUCAGGCUGUGAUGAUACGGUCCUGCUGACCGCACAUGAAAGUGAUGGAGGGGCGCCGCGGGACAGGUGGUCCCCCAACGCCGCGCCGCCCGCUCCAGCACAGAGCGGCCCCUGUCCCGUGCCAGCACGCCGCCAGAUGGCCCGUCUGGCCCGACCCCUCUGGGCUGGCGGGACUCACUGAUCGCCGUGCCCAGCUCUCCGCAGGCGCCUUGGCAGCCGGGCCGACGUGACAGCCCCGCUUGUUGAAGAUCAAACGCUAAUCGCCGCACGCUCCUGUUGCUGCGCUGCCACAUGUCCUCCGAGGAAGAAAAGGAAAAUGUCUGCGUCCUCCUCCAGAGCUUUUUGAGGAAAGUCAUAAAAAUGUUGUGCCCAUCCAGAAGUGUGACACACUUCACUGUAGAUAAUAGAUAACAUCAUCGGUCAGGCCAUUGGUCUACUGGCAAAGUCACAGCGUGAGGACACAGAUUAAUUAAAGAGGAGACGGCAGAGGAGAGAGUUUCAGAGCAGCGUUGUGGGGAAUCCUAACGAGCCCAUCGAACCACACGCAGCGAUUUUAUUUUGGCGGGGGCAGUCAAGACGACGCAUGCCUUUCAGCUCUCUUACAUCACCCUCCAGGCAGACAAGCCUGGUCGCAGCCCCGCGAGGUGAACUCCCAUGUCCCAGCCAGCGAUGUGGGAACCCACUCUGCCGAUUUGAAAGCAUGACCUCACGGCAUGACAUCACUCUCCUGGAGAUACAAGAGCUUCUCCUUCUCCAGCUUUCAUCUGCGCUGCUCACACUGUCCAGGGACAGCA
This is a long non-coding RNA of Betta splendens (Siamese fighting fish), 1449 nucleotides long. RefSeq lists it as uncharacterized. The record is from RefSeq and is a predicted model, not a curated record. NCBI's taxonomy places the organism in Eukaryota, Metazoa, Chordata, Actinopteri, Anabantiformes, Osphronemidae. The transcript is spliced from 3 exons.